This 657-nucleotide small RNA is filed under the name Pan troglodytes (chimpanzee). RNAcentral's name for it is "retained intron". Lineage: Eukaryota; Metazoa; Chordata; Mammalia; Primates; Hominidae. The record is from RNAcentral.
GUGCAAAACGCUGCCUCGAUAUCCUUGGGGCUGUGGCUUCACUUUGCCUGAGAUCCUGCAGCCUGGGGGUCUGGGCGGAGCCGUGCUUGUCUCUUGUGAAGCUCCCUGCCCAGCUCUGUGCCUGGUGAUGGUAGCUGCUCUAUGAAUGAAGGAAGGAGGGAAGGGGGUGGAUUUGGCAGUAUCCUGAGUCCUCCUUUCUUCCCCCAGCUGGUGCCCCUGGGUGAACUGACCAAGCACAGCACAUCAGCGGUGGAUCUAUCCACCUGCUUUGCCCAGAUCAGCCACACUGCCCGGCAGCUGGACUGGCCAGACCCAGAGGAGGCCUUCAUGAUUACCGUCAAGUUUGUGGAGGACACCUGUCGCCUGGCCCUGGUGUACUGCAGCCUUAUAAAGGCCCGGGCCCGCGAGCUCUCUUCAGGCCAGAAGGACCAAGGCCAGGCAGCCAACAUGCUGUGUGUGGUGGUGAAUGACAUGGAGCAGCUGCGGCUGGUGAUCGGCAAGUUGCCUGCCCAGCUGGCAUGGGAGGCCCUGGAGCAGCGGGUAGGGGCCGUGCUGGAGCAGGGGCAGCUGCAGAACACGCUGCAUGCCCAGCUGCAGAGUGCGCUGGCCGGGCUGGGCCAUGAGAUCCGCACUGGCGUCCGCACCCUGGCCGAGCAG